CUGGACGGCCAUAGUGACAAGGUUCCACCCGAUCCCAUUCCGAACUCGGAAGUUAAGCUCCAUGACGCCGAUGGUACUGCAGGGGUCACCCUGUGGGAGAGUAGGUCUCGCCGGU
Molecule: ribosomal RNA, 115 nt
Filed under: Myxococcales bacterium
Lineage: Bacteria; Pseudomonadati; Myxococcota; Myxococcia; Myxococcales
Source: RNAcentral